CCUACGGGGGACAGCAGUGGGGGAUAUUGCGCAAUGGGGGGAACCCUGAUGCAGCGACGCCGCGUGGGUGAAGGAGCGUUUCGGCGCGUAAAGCCCUAUCGGCAGGGAAGAAGGAGGACGGUACCUGACUAAGAAGCCCCGGCUAACUACGUGCCAGCAGCCGCGGUAAUACGGAGGGGGCCAGCGUUAUCCGGAUUUACUGGGUGUAAAGGGGGCGCAGACGGCAGGGCAAGCCAGAGGUGAAAGCCCGGGGCCCAACCCCGGGACGGCACUUGGAACGGCGCGGCUGGAGUGCAGGAGGGGCAGGCGGAAUUCCAGGUGUAGCGGUGAAAUGCGUAGAUAUAAGGAGGAACACCAGUGGCGAAGGCGGCCUGCUGGACUGCGACUGACGUUGAGGCCCGAAAGCGUGGGGAGCAAACAGGAUUAGAUACCCCUGUAGUC
This 441-nucleotide ribosomal RNA is filed under the name uncultured bacterium. Its description in RNAcentral is "partial 16S ribosomal RNA". It matches the Rfam family "Bacterial small subunit ribosomal RNA", at positions 338 to 795 of the family's 1533-position model. The record is from RNAcentral.